RNAcentral lists this ribosomal RNA (1153 nucleotides) under Trichodorus nanjingensis. Its description in RNAcentral is "SSU rRNA". It matches the Rfam family "Eukaryotic small subunit ribosomal RNA", at positions 39 to 1200 of the family's 1831-position model. The record is from RNAcentral. Lineage: Eukaryota; Metazoa; Nematoda; Enoplea; Triplonchida; Trichodoridae.
AAAGAUUAAGCCAUGCAUGUCUCUGCACACGCCCUUGAAUGGUGAAGCCGCGAAAAGCUCAUUACAACAGCCAUAGUCUAUUGGAUCUUUACGUUCCUACAAGGACACCUGCGGUAAUUCUGGAGCUAAUACUUGCGAAAAACGACGACCUCACGGAAGUCGUGCAUUUGUUAGACUAAACCAUUCGGUCCUUCGGGACCGCAAUUUGGUGAACUCUGAAUAACUUAGCUGAUCGCACAGUCUCGUACUGGCGACGAAUCUUUCGAGUGUCUGCCUUAUCAACUUUCGAUGGUAGUUUACACGACUACCAUGGUUGUAACGGGUAACGGAGAAUAAGGGUUCGACUCCGGAGAGGGAGCCUGAGAAACGGCUACCACAUCCAAGGAAGGCAGCAGGCGCGCAAAUUACCCACUCUCAGAACGAGGAGGUAGUGACGAAAAAUAACGAGGUGGCUCUCUACGAGGUCCAUCAUCGGAAUGGGUACAAUUUAAAUCCUUUAACGAGGAUCUAUUGGAGGGCAAGUCUGGUGCCAGCAGCCGCGGUAAUUCCAGCUCCAAUAGCGUAUACUAAAGUUGUUGCGGUUAAAAAGCUCGUAGUUGGAUCUGCGUCCGGUGAAAGUGGUCGCCCGAUGGGUUGUUACUGCUUCUCCCGGACUAACCAUUCGGUUUUCCCUUGAUGCUCUUAACUGAGUGUCCUGGGUGACCGGAACGUUUAUUUUGAAAAAAUUAGAGUGCUCAAAGCAGGCGAUUCGCCCGAAUAUUCGUGCAUGGAAUAAUAAAAGAGGUCCUUGUAACCUUUUAUUGGUUAUCGUUAUGAGGAAAUGAUCGACGGGGACAGACGGGGGCAUUUGUAUUGCGACGUUAGAGGUGAAAUUCUUGGAUCGUCGCAAGACAAACUACUGCGAAAGCAUUUGCCAAGAAUGUUUUCAUCAAUCAAGAACGAAAGUCUGAGGUUCGACAGCGAUCAGAUACCGCUUUAGUUCAGACCGUAAACGAUGCCAUCUGGCGAUCCACCGGCGUUAUGUAUGACUCGGUGGGCAGCCACCGGUAAACCUUUAAGUCAGGUUCCGGGGGAAGUAUGGUUGCAAAGCUGAAGCUUAAAGGAAUUGACGGAAGGGCACCACCAGGAGUGGAGCCUGCGGCUUAAUUUGACU